CACAUGCAGUCGAGCGGAUGAGAAGAGCUUGCUCUUCGAUUCAGCGGCGGACGGGUGAGUAAUGCCUAGGAAUCUGCCUGGUAGUGGGGGACAACGUUUCGAAAGGAACGCUAAUACCGCAUACGUCCUACGGGAGAAAGCAGGGGACCUUCGGGCCUUGCGCUAUCAGAUGAGCCUAGGUCGGAUUAGCUAGUUGGUGAGGUAAUGGCUCACCAAGGCGACGAUCCGUAACUGGUCUGAGAGGAUGAUCAGUCACACUGGAACUGAGACACGGUCCAGACUCCUACGGGAGGCAGCAGUGGGGAAUAUUGGACAAUGGGCGAAAGCCUGAUCCAGCCAUGCCGCGUGUGUGAAGAAGGUCUUCGGAUUGUAAAGCACUUUAAGUUGGGAGGAAGGGCAUUAACCUAAUACGUUAGUGUUUUGACGUUACCGACAGAAUAAGCACCGGCUAACUCUGUGCCAGCAGCCGCGGUAAUACAGAGGGUGCAAGCGUUAAUCGGAAUUACUGGGCGUAAAGCGCGCGUAGGUGGUUUGUUAAGUUGGAUGUGAAAGCCCCGGGCUCAACCUGGGAACUGCAUCCAAAACUGGCAAGCUAGAGUACGGUAGAGGGUGGUGGAAUUUCCUGUGUAGCGGUGAAAUGCGUAGAUAUAGGAAGGAACACCAGUGGCGAAGGCGACCACCUGGACUGAUACUGACACUGAGGUGCGAAAGCGUGGGGAGCAAACAGGAUUAGAUACCCUGGUAGUCCACGCCGUAAACGAUGUCAACUAGCCGUUGGAAUCCUUGAGAUUUUAGUGGCGCAGCUAACGCAUUAAGUUGACCGCCUGGGGAGUACGGCCGCAAGGUUAAAACUCAAAUGAAUUGACGGGGGCCCGCACAAGCGGUGGAGCAUGUGGUUUAAUUCAAACAACGCGAAAACCUUACAAGGCCUUGACAUGCGAGAACUUUCCAGAGAUGGAUGGUGCCUUCGGGACUCUGACACAGGUGCUGCAUGGCUGUCAUCGCUCGUGUCGUGAAGAUGUGGGUUAAGUCCCGUACUAGCGCAACCCUGUC
RNAcentral lists this ribosomal RNA (1053 nucleotides) under Pseudomonas putida. Its description in RNAcentral is "bacterial SSU rRNA". It matches the Rfam family "Bacterial small subunit ribosomal RNA", at positions 52 to 1108 of the family's 1533-position model. The record is from RNAcentral. Lineage: Bacteria; Pseudomonadati; Pseudomonadota; Gammaproteobacteria; Pseudomonadales; Pseudomonadaceae.